Molecule: small nuclear RNA, 107 nt
Organism: Phacochoerus africanus (Common warthog)
Lineage: Eukaryota; Metazoa; Chordata; Mammalia; Artiodactyla; Suidae
Source: RefSeq, a predicted model, not a curated record
GUGCUCGCUUCGGCAGCACAUAUACUAAAAUUGGGACAAUACAGAGAAAAUUAACGUUGCCCCUGUGCAAGGAUGACACACAAAUUUGUGAAGGGCUCCGUGUUUUU